CCUACGGGGGGCAGCAGUGGGGAAUAUUGGGCAAUGGGCGCAAGCCUGACCCAGCAACGCCGCGUGAAGGAUGAAGGCUUUCGGGUUGUAAACUUCUUUUCUCAGGGACGAAGAAAGUGACGGUACCUGAGGAAUAAGCCACGGCUAACUACGUGCCAGCAGCCGCUGUAAUACGGAGGUGGCAAGCGUUAUCCGGAUUUACUGGGUGUAAAGGUCGUGUAGGCGGGGAAGCAAGUCAGAUGUGAAAACCACGGGCUCAACCUGUGGCCUGCAUUUGAAACUGUUUUUCUUGAGUACUGGAGAGGCAGACGGAAUUCCUAGUGUAGCGGUGAAAUGCGUAGAUAUUAGGAGGAACACCAGUGGCGAAGGCGGUCUGCUGGACGGCAACUGACGCUGAGGCGCGAAAGCGUGGGGAGCAAACAGGAUUAGAUACCCUAGUAGUC
Molecule: ribosomal RNA, 443 nt
Filed under: uncultured bacterium
Lineage: Bacteria
Description: partial 16S ribosomal RNA
Rfam family: Bacterial small subunit ribosomal RNA
Source: RNAcentral